GUGCUCACUUCAGCAGCACAUAUACUAAAAUUGGAAUGAUAUAGAGAAGAUUAGCAUGGCUCCUGCACAAAGGUGACAUGGAAAUUUGUGAAGACUUCCACAUUUUU
This 107-nucleotide small nuclear RNA is filed under the name Salvator merianae (Argentine black and white tegu). The record is from RNAcentral. Lineage: Eukaryota; Metazoa; Chordata; Lepidosauria; Squamata; Teiidae.